RNAcentral lists this ribosomal RNA (253 nucleotides) under uncultured bacterium. Its description in RNAcentral is "partial 16S ribosomal RNA". It matches the Rfam family "Bacterial small subunit ribosomal RNA", at positions 524 to 776 of the family's 1533-position model. The record is from RNAcentral.
UACGUAGGGUGCAAGCGUUAAUCGGAAUUACUGGGCGUAAAGCGUGCGCAGGCGGUUUUGUAAGUCUGUCGUGAAAUCCCCGGGCUCAACCUGGGAAUUGCGAUGGAGACUGCAAGGCUAGAAUCUGGCAGAGGGGGGUAGAAUUCCACGUGUAGCAGUGAAAUGCGUAGAGAUGUGGAGGAAUACCGAUGGCGAAGGCAGCCCCCUGGGAUAACACUGACGCUCAUGCACGAAAGCGUGGGGAGCAAACAGG